RNAcentral lists this ribosomal RNA (279 nucleotides) under uncultured bacterium. RNAcentral's name for it is "partial 16S ribosomal RNA". It matches the Rfam family "Bacterial small subunit ribosomal RNA", at positions 506 to 784 of the family's 1533-position model. The record is from RNAcentral.
UGCCAGCCGCCGCGGUAAUACGGAGGGAGCGAGCGUUAAUCGGAAUUACUGGGCGUAAAGCGCGCGUAGGCGGCUUUGUAAGUCGGAUGUGAAAGCCCCGGGCUUAACCUGGGAAUUGCAUUCGAUACUGCAGAGCUAGAGUAUGGUAGAGGGAAGUGGAAUUUCCGGUGUAGCGGUGAAAUGCGUAGAUAUCUGGAGGAACAUCAGUGGCGAAGGCGGCUCCCUGGCCAAAGACUGACGCUCAUGUGCGAAAGUGUGGGUAGCGAACAGGAUUAGAUA